AGUGAACGCUGGCGGUAGGCCUAACACAUGCAAGUCGAACGGCAGCACAGUAAGAGCUUGCUCUUACGGGUGGCGAGUGGCGGACGGGUGAGGAAUACAUCGGAAUCUACUUUUUCUUGGGGGAUAACGUAGGGGAACUUACGCUAAUACCGCAUACGACCUACGGGUGAAAGCAGGGGAUCUUCGGACCUUGCGCGAUUGAAUGAGCCGAUGUCGGAUUAGCUAGUUGGCGGGGUAAAGGCCCACCAAGGCGACGAUCCGUAGCUGGUCUGAGAGGAUGAUCAGCCACACUGGAACUGAGACACGGUCCAGACUCCUACGGGAGGCAGCAGUGGGGAAUAUUGGACAAAGGGCGCAAGCCUGAUCCAGCCAUACCGCGUGGGUGAAGAAGGCCUUCGGGUUGUAAAGCCCUUUUGUUGGGAAAGAAAAGCAGCAGGUUAAUACCCCGCUGUUCUGACGGUACCCAAAGAAUAAGCACCGGCUAACUUCGUG
This 492-nucleotide ribosomal RNA is filed under the name uncultured bacterium. Its description in RNAcentral is "partial 16S ribosomal RNA". It matches the Rfam family "Bacterial small subunit ribosomal RNA", at positions 29 to 507 of the family's 1533-position model. The record is from RNAcentral.